CGUGAGUGAUGACGGCCUUAGGGUUGUAGAGCUCCUUUCAUCAGGGACGAUAAUGACGGUACCUCGAAGAAGAAGACCCCGGCUAACUUCGUGC
RNAcentral lists this ribosomal RNA (94 nucleotides) under uncultured bacterium. RNAcentral describes it as "partial 16S ribosomal RNA". The record is from RNAcentral.